Molecule: ribosomal RNA, 671 nt
Filed under: uncultured bacterium
Lineage: Bacteria
Description: bacterial SSU rRNA
Rfam family: Bacterial small subunit ribosomal RNA
Source: RNAcentral
UGAUUCAGCCCACCACUGGAAUUGAGAACCGUUCAGAUCUCUUACGGAGGCAGCAGUAGAUAUGGAACAAUGGCGCCAAGCUGAUCAGUCAUGCCGCGUGGAGUGAGAGUCCUCGGGUGUAAGCUCUUUGUUGGGAAGAAAAGCAUCGCUAUACCCGGGUGUCUGACGUACCCAAAGAUAAGCACGGCUAACUUCGUGCCAGCAGCGCGGUAAUACGAAGGGUGCAAGCGUUACUCGGAAUUACUGGGCGUAAAGCGUGCGUAGGUGGUUCGUUAAGUCUGAUGUGAAAGCCCUGGGCUCAACCUGGGAAUGGCAUUGGAUACUGGCGGGCUAGAGUGCGGUAGAGGGUAGUGGAAUUCCCGGUGUAGCAGUGAAAUGCGUAGAGAUCGGGAGGAACAUCCGUGGCGAAGGCGACUACCUGGACCAGCACUGACACUGAGGCACGAAAGCGUGGGGAGCAAACAGGAUUAGAUACCCUGGUAGUCCACGCCCUAAACGAUGCGAACUGGAUGUUGGGCUCAACUUGGAGCUCAGUAUCGAAGCUAACGCGUUAAGUUCGCCGCCUGGGGAGUACGGUCGCAAGACUGAAACUCAAAGGAAUUGACGGGGGCCCGCACAAGCGGUGGAGUAUGUGGUUUAAUUCGAUGCAACGCGAAGAACCUUACCUGGCC